CUUCCAGCAUAGCUAAGAAUUUCCUUUAUGGUAUUGUAACACAUUUUUUUUCUGAUGGCCAACUGGAUUAUCACUAUUGCACUUCCUUUGCCUGAAAAUACAUUGUCUGAUUGAAGAAUGUCAAUAUCUGACCACAUAAUGCCAGUAGGACAAAAUUUAUAUCUAACAUUUUACUUCUCUUGGCUUCCUUUUUAAUUAAUUAGUUAAUUAAUGAAUUAAUUCUUACCUUCUGCUGUGAAGUUUUGCACAUUUUUAUUUUCAUUCUAGCAAGCUCAUAUUUGCUUGUGUCAGUAUUAAGUCCUUCUCAAAAAUAAAUGCAAUUAUAUGUAUUCUCUGAUCAAAGAGCAUCAUUACAGAUAGUGAUUUUAUCUAUAGGGCAGCCUCAUGGAACCUGAAGCUUUUAUUGCCAGGUCUAUAAGAAGCAAGAAUUAUGAGUUAUACAUUUCCCAGUAUAUCAUUUUCUUCUGCCGCUUGUUAUGGCAACCAGCUGAAACAUAAGACAGCAGUUAAACUUUGCUUAGUAAUAGAAAAAGACCAUGGUGGGAUGUCUGAAACUGUAAAUAUCAGUUAAAAAAUAAAUACUUUCAUAUAAGAAUAAGCUCCAAACUUAGACAUCCUAUUGAAUGCUUUUACUGGAAGUUGAUUCUAGCCAAGUCCAAUUUUAUUCAUGUUGUAUUAUUUAUUCCCUUUUUGACAAAUCAUAAAGUCCUGCUUUUUUUCUGGCAUAUGCCAUCCUCCUUUUUUAUGGAAAAGAAAUAAUAAAAGAUUUUCUUAUCAUUCUACCUAAAUAUUUGGAGGGAAGUUGUAUUUCCUUGUAGCAUCCUGAGCCCAGAAUUCCCUAUUACCAGUUUCUGGCAAUAGAAUUGCCAUUGGAAUACAAUGACUAUGUAGCCUGUCAAAAGAUGUCUUGAAGAACUCUCACAGAAGUGUCUCAAGAUGACUGAAAAUGCAGUUUAUUUUCAGCGAAAUAUGUGAAGAAACUAUAUUUCUGUUUAUUUACAGUGAUUUCUAUAUGAGAGGGCUUUUUUUGUAAAUAAAACUCAAAAACCUAGAAGUUUAAUGACUUGUUUUCCAGCCACCAAGACCCCAUAGUUUUGUGGAUUUUGAUUGUAAAAUACUACAAAAAAGAUACCUGUUGUUUCAGAGGAUAGUUUUAGUCAUUUUUCAAUGUUCCCUUCUUUUUCUUCUUCUUCUUAUGGAAAGUAAAUUAACAGUUUUUUGAAAAUAUGAGUGGCACUUUUUUUUUUUUAAUUUAAAGAGUGUAAUUUUUAAGGGCUAAUGAAACUUCCCUGGUAAAGGACUUGACUGCAUCUUUUAACUAUGUAUAAGCAGUAGAUAACUUGACUAAAGUAGAGAUGAUGUCAGACAAGGCAUCUGUCCCACAAAUCCAUAUGUCAAUAGAAAAUUAGAACAGUCUUUUCUUCCAUAAUAUGUGGACCAAGUAAAAGAGGUGAAGACUUUAUUUUCAAAAGAUACCAAGAGAAUAUUUUGACAGAUGUCUUUAUUUGCAGCUAGGUCUGGAAUAAUUAAUGAAUCCCAGCAAAUCACACUGAUAACGUUUCCCUUAGAAAUGCAGCAGUCACUAGUCCAGGGGAGUUUCCUCUUGUCUUUUUCGCUUUUACAUUUAUGUUGCUACAGAUUGGAUGCCAUUCUUAGCAAGGUGGUCACCUCUGUCCUUUGCAGUGAAAAUCCAAGCCAGGAUCAUCAAUGUUUUUGUAGCUAAUACCUUCAAGCAAUUCUACCCAAGACAGAAAAUUUUUCUACUGAAGAAAAUUAGAGAACAACUCAUCUUAUUGCAGAAAAUAUAGAACGGGAUCUUCCUAAGAACGCCAAACUGCUCACACACAAAGCUCUUAUGAAUGGAGGAUUCAUACUGCACUGUGGCACACUGGGCUUGGGCUAAUUUGCAUAGUCAAAAUCAGCAGCAGGUUUCUCCAGCUAGCAUUACAGUGGAGGUUCAGAAGCUGUUUUCACUUCUUUCCCUUAUGUUCCUUUUUUUUCUUCAAGUCAGCUAGUAUCUGCUAACCACAUCUGUGAAAAUCCUGCUGGAGACAAGGCAAUUCUCUGCCUGUUUUGAACUGUGAAGAGAAGAAAAAGAUUUCACAGUGACAGGCAUAUUCAACUCUUCGUUUUCUCUGGACCAGAGAAGUAUGGCUUCAGGAGACAUGACAGACAGUUCUGAGCUUCUUCCUGAGCUGAUGGUGGAUGUGGGAAUGAUCUCCUCAGGAAGACAAGCGAUGAACCUGCAUCUCCCGCUUCACCAGCAAGCACCUUAUCUCCAAGAAUGAUGUUACGCAAAGCGCUGGCAGUCGUGCUGCCACAACCUCUGGAUAUAUUUCUAGAAGUCUCUGGGCUGUUGUGCUGAGGUUGGUGCCUGUUAGGCGCACUUCGAAGAUGUUUGCCUGAUGAAGCCUCUUAAGAGGUACCUCACCAGUAUAUUGCAGGCAGGCUUGCUGCCAGUAGGUGUUGAGAUUUCAGCUGUAAAAAAACAGCAGCAGCAAUGGAAAAUGCCGCAGCAGAACUUUUAGAUAAUUUUAUCAGGAUAAUCCUUACACAGAUUUUUUGUGUCGUUUCAUAUACAUAUACAUGUGUAAAUAUAGCUUCCUAGCAUUUUUGAUGCUUUUUCGAAUUCUGCUAUCAGUGACUUUCUCCAAGUUAUUUUGUGAAGCAAGGCAUAAAGUUAUAAAGAAAUCCUGCUCUGCUGCAGUCUUUCUUAAAGACAUGUAAAUUUAUUUACAAUUAUAAGCAGUCUUAUAAUGUUGCCAUUUUUUUGGCAAUGAAGUAGCUGGCACCUAUUUGAAUUUGAGAAAAAUCUCCUCUGAUACUCACUACAUCUAUUAAACAUUUCAUCUCUAUUUCAUUGUCAUGUGUUUAUUAGUUCCCCAAGAGAUUUGCUGAUAGGGUCUGUUUCUAUCCCUAUGUUCUUCUAGCCCCCGUUCUCUUUUAUUCUGGGUUCUGUUGCCCUCAGGAGACUAAAAUCCUGCUCUCUUUGCUCCUCUCAUCAUGCUCUUCCUUCCAGAGACUACUUGUCUAAACGAAGCAACAGGAAGAGGAAGGGCAGAAUUUCUUUGCUAUCAUUUUGAAUAUAAUAUUAUGAAUGCAUGCCUCUAGUCUUCACAGAUGAAUAAAUUAUAUUUGCUUUGGGUAAUGCUAAACAAUCCCUAACAAAUUACAGUUUACUGUGUAGUAAAAAACACACAGAAGACUACAGCAGGAACAUGAUUUAUAUUCAAACAAAAUGAGCAAGUUAAUUUCUGCUCUCAAACCCCAACUCAGCAAAGUGCUUAAACACUACUUACUAAGGUGCUUAAGUACCUUCUUAAGUUCUGUGCAGCAUGAUAAGAGAAAUUUUGUCAAGUGGAGCCUUAUUUGAGAGAAAACUCUAACCCUGGGAACAUACAAAAAGAUUUUGAUCCCUGCUGUGCUCAUGUCUGUUACCUUUCCUCUGAGUUCACUGGAUUGGUAUCGACUUAUAAAAGGGUAUCCAAUCUGAAUAUUGGUUUGCUAAACAGAAAUUUCUGAAUUAACCUUACUCUCAAGAGCAAUGAAUUUCCAAGUGAUAAUGUGCUCUGUGAUGUACCAUUUUUUUCUUUGUCUGUUGUGGUAGUUGUUAAACAUUUUGAAUUUGGGCAACUAGGCCAUCAUUUGCCCUUUCUACUAGUCAUCUAAAAUGAUUAUACAACUUCAAGCCCCCUAACAUUGAUAUGAAUCUUAGCAAAAUUUCAAAUGUGUGUUCAAAACCUCCUAGAGACAUGCAAUUUGAAGAUGUCCAAGAAGCAUGAGACAUUUCACUCUCAGGAUGGGGAGGGAAACAAAAAUGCUGAAUCUCUUCCUAUCCAUCAGAGUACUUGGAUUUAAAAUGAAGUAGUACCAACAGAUGGGAGACGUUGCGUCUGUCUGAAAAAUGGAGUUUCAUGAAUCUAAGUUAGCAGAAAGCUCU
This is a long non-coding RNA of Numida meleagris (helmeted guineafowl), 3940 nucleotides long. RefSeq lists it as uncharacterized. Lineage: Eukaryota; Metazoa; Chordata; Aves; Galliformes; Numididae. The transcript is spliced from 3 exons. The record is from RefSeq and is a predicted model, not a curated record.